GGGCGUUUAGCUCAGCUGGUUCAGAGCAUCUGCCUUACAAGCAGAGGAAAAGCGGUUCGUCUCCGUCGACGUCCA
This 75-nucleotide transfer RNA is filed under the name Parabacteroides distasonis. RNAcentral's name for it is "tRNA-Val". It matches the Rfam family "tRNA". From Rfam's summary of the family: Transfer RNA (tRNA) molecules are approximately 80 nucleotides in length. Their secondary structure includes four short double-helical elements and three loops (D, anti-codon, and T loops). Further hydrogen bonds mediate the characteristic L-shaped molecular structure. tRNAs have two regions of fundamental functional importance: the anti-codon, which is responsible for specific mRNA codon recognition, and the 3' end, to which the tRNAs corresponding amino acid is attached (by aminoacyl-tRNA synthetases). tRNAs cope with the degeneracy of the genetic code in two manners: having more than one tRNA (with a specific anti-codon) for a particular amino acid; and 'wobble' base-pairing, i.e. permitting non-standard base-pairing at the 3rd anti-codon position. The record is from RNAcentral. Lineage: Bacteria; Pseudomonadati; Bacteroidota; Bacteroidia; Bacteroidales; Tannerellaceae.